ACACGGGGGGCGCAAGCGUUAUUCGGAAUUAUCGGGCGUAAAGGGCGUGUAGGCGGUUUUAUCGGUCAGAUGUGAAAGCCCAGGGCUCAACCCUGGACGUGCAUUUGAAACAGCAAGACUUGAGUACGGGAGAGGAAAGCGGAAUUCCUGGUGUAGAGGUGAAAUUCGUAGAUAUCAGGAGGAACACCGAUGGCGAAGGCAGCUUUCUGGACCGAUACUGACGCUGAGGCGCGAAGGCGUGGGUAGCGAACAGGAUUAGAAACCCCAGUAGUCC
Molecule: ribosomal RNA, 274 nt
Filed under: uncultured bacterium
Lineage: Bacteria
Description: partial 16S ribosomal RNA
Rfam family: Bacterial small subunit ribosomal RNA
Source: RNAcentral